This 440-nucleotide ribosomal RNA is filed under the name uncultured bacterium. RNAcentral describes it as "partial 16S ribosomal RNA". It matches the Rfam family "Bacterial small subunit ribosomal RNA", at positions 338 to 795 of the family's 1533-position model. The record is from RNAcentral.
CCUACGGGAGGCAGCAGUAGGGAAUAUUGCUCAAUGGGGGAAACCCUGAACCAGCAACGCCGCGUGGAGGAUGAAGGUUUUCGGAUUGUAAACUCCUUUUGUUAGAGAAGAUAAUGACGGUAUGUAACGAAUAAGCACGGGCCAACUCCGUACCAGCAGCCGCUGUAAUACGGAGGGUGCGCGCCUUAGUCGGUAUCACUGGGCGUAAAGAGCGCGUAGGGGGGAUAGCAAGUCAGAUGUGAAAGCCUAUGGCUUAACCAUAGAACUGCAUUUGAAACUGGUAUUCUAGAGUAUGGGAGAGGAAGGUGGAAUUCUUGGUGUAGGGGUAAAAUGCGUAGAGAUCAAGAGGAACACUCAUCGCGAAGGCGACCUGCUAGAACAUAACUGACGCUGAGGCGCGAAAGCGUGGGGAGCAAACAGGAUUAGAUACCCGAGUAGUC